GUUUAAUCGCCAUGGAGCCAAAGUCUUUACAGUCAGUUUCAUACGAAUGGGCUCCAUGGGAUUCCUAUCUGGGGUAUAACACAUUCAAACAAAUCUACCGAACCCCAGGCAGAAAAGCACGAAUACAGCUUUUCUGCAGGCAAAAAUAAAGUCUUUUAAAAGGGGGCCAUAGUCCAAAGGCAGCAGGCGAGCAACCAGGCUUCUCCAAUGCACUGUGGCGAGAUUGGUCUCGUCACAUCUCUCCCCUUUUACAAACAGACUAACAGGGUAUCUGACCUCCUGCCGGUCAGUGCCCUUGUUAGUCCAGCAGCCCACCCACAACAAAUGAUCAACAGCACAGCCCACCCACAAUAAAUGGUUACUACACCUGGGUAAAGGAGAAGCUUGUCCAUGUCCAGGUGCCUCACCACGGCUGGGCUACGGGUACGCUGACUUGGUGGGUUGCUGCGUGGGCAGAGACCAGCGGCACUCUGCCCUGUUGCCAGCGCUACUGGGAGGAUAGCCUGGUUGAAGCCUGGUUGUUGGAGGGGGAGACCGACUGUCUCCCCUUUAAAUACACUGCUCUGCUGCUGGAGACUGACUGUCUCCCCUUUAGAUGCACAGUCCUGCUGCUGGAGACCGACUGUCUCCCCUUUGGCUAAACAGCCCUGUCGCUGGGGGGCAGAACCGACCGUCCCUACCCCCUGUGCUGGCAGUGUAGAGACUACGGUCCCAUCUGCACAGUUGUGGGGCUUACUGUCUCCCCCUGAUACAUUAAGCUGCAGCUGGGGAGAGGGGGUAACAGGCUCCUCUCCCGAUAGAACACUCUGCCGCUGGGGAAAGGAGACUGAGCUCUCUAUUCCCUGCCCAUUAAUGAUCCGCCG
Molecule: long non-coding RNA, 863 nt
Filed under: Pelobates cultripes (western spadefoot toad)
Lineage: Eukaryota; Metazoa; Chordata; Amphibia; Anura; Pelobatidae
Source: RNAcentral